This 489-nucleotide ribosomal RNA is filed under the name uncultured bacterium. RNAcentral's name for it is "bacterial SSU rRNA". It matches the Rfam family "Bacterial small subunit ribosomal RNA", at positions 29 to 493 of the family's 1533-position model. The record is from RNAcentral.
AACUAACGCUGGCGGCGUGCCUAACACAUGCAAGUCGAACGAGAAAGUUGGCUUCGGCCGAUGAGUAAAGUGGCGCACGGGUGAGUAACGCGUGGAUAAUCUGCCCUUUAGUUUGGAAUAACGUACCGAAAGGUGCGCUAAUACCGGAUAAUACUGAAUGACUACUGUCGUUUAGUCAAAGAAGGCUUCUGUUUACAUGCUUUUGCUGAAGGAUGAGUCCGCGUACCAUUAGCUAGUUGGUAGGGUAAUGGCCUACCAAGGCGACGAUGGUUAGCUGGUCUGAGAGGAUGAUCAGCCACACUGGAACUGAGACACGGUCCAGACUCCUACGGGAGGCAGCAGUGAGGAAUAUUGCGCAAUGGGGGCAACCCUGACGCAGCAACGCCGCGUGAGUGAGGAAGGUUUUCGGACCGUAAAGCUCUGUCGAGCGGGAAGAAAUGCAUGGUGGCUAAUAUCCAUCAUGCUUGACGGUACCGCUAAAGGAAGACC